This 468-nucleotide ribosomal RNA is filed under the name uncultured bacterium. RNAcentral's name for it is "partial 16S ribosomal RNA". It matches the Rfam family "Bacterial small subunit ribosomal RNA", at positions 28 to 507 of the family's 1533-position model. The record is from RNAcentral.
GACGAACGCUGGCGGCGUGCUUAACACAUGCAAGUCGAACGGAAAGGCCCUGCUUUUGUGGGGUGCUCGAGUGGCGAACGGGUGAGUAACACGUGAGUAACCUGCCCUUGACUUUGGGAUAACUUCAGGAAACUGGGGCUAAUACCGGAUAGGAGCUCCUGCUGCAUGGUGGGGGUUGGAAAGUUUCGGCGGUUGGGGAUGGACUCGCGGCUUAUCAGCUUGUUGGUGGGGUAGUGGCUUACCAAGGAUUUGACGGGUAGCCGGCCUGAGAGGGUGACCGGCCACAUUGGGACUGAGAUACGGACCAGACUCCUACGGGAGGCAGCAGUGGGGAAUAUUGCACAAUGGGCGGAAGCCUGAUGCAGCAACGCUGCGUGCGGGAUGACGGCCUUCGGGUUGUAAACCGCUUUCGCCUGUGACGAAGCGUGAGUGACGGUAAUGGGUAAAGAAGCACCGGCUAACUACGUG